Molecule: ribosomal RNA, 357 nt
Filed under: uncultured Gammaproteobacteria bacterium
Lineage: Bacteria; Pseudomonadati; Pseudomonadota; Gammaproteobacteria
Description: bacterial SSU rRNA
Rfam family: Bacterial small subunit ribosomal RNA
Source: RNAcentral
CUUAUGGCAAUUGACGGUACCUGAAGAAUAAGCACCGGCUAACUCCGUGCCAGCAGCCGCGGUAAUACGGAGGGUGCAAGCGUUAAUCGGAAUUACUGGGCGUAAAGCGUGCGCAGGCGGCUGCCUAAGUCGGAUGUGAAAGCCCCGGGCUUAACCUGGGAAUUGCAUUCGAUACUGGGCAGCUAGAGUUUGGUAGAGGUAAGUGGAAUUCCGGGUGUAGCGGUGAAAUACGUAGAUAUCCGGAGGAACAUCAGUGGCGAAGGCGGCUUACUGGACCAAAACUGACGCUCAGGCACGAAAGCGUGGGUAGCAAACAGGAUUAGAUACCCUGGUAGUCCACGCCCUAAACGAUGUCAA